This 782-nucleotide ribosomal RNA is filed under the name uncultured archaeon. RNAcentral's name for it is "bacterial SSU rRNA". It matches the Rfam family "Archaeal small subunit ribosomal RNA", at positions 47 to 861 of the family's 1478-position model. The record is from RNAcentral.
AGCCAUGCGAGUCGCGAGCCUUAGGGGCUCGGCAUACUGCUCAGUAACACGUGGAUAACCUGCCCUAUUGUCUGGAAUAACCUCGGGAAACUGAGAACCGGAUAGCCCACAAUGCCUGGAACGGUUUGUGGGUGAAGAUAGGAUGGGUCUGCGGCGUAUCAGGUUGUAGGGGGUGUAAUGGACCUCCUAGCCAUCGACGCGUACGGGUGUUGGGAGACAUAGCCCGGAGAUGGAUUCUGAGACACGAAUCCAGACCCUACGGUGUGCAGCAGGCGCGAAAACUUCACACUGCAGGAAACUGUGAUGAGGGAACUCAAGUGCUAUCACUAUGUGGUAGCUUUUCUUGACUAUUAAUCGGUCAUGGAAUAAGGGCUGGGAAAGACCGGUGCCAGCCGCCGCGGUAAUACCGGCAGCUCAAGUGGUCGUCGCUUUUAUUGGGCCUAAAACGUCCGUAGCCUGUUUGGUAAAUCUGUGGGUAAAUCAACCAGCUUAACUGGUUGAAUUCUGCAGAGACUGCCAGACUAGGGACCGGGAGAGGUGUGGGGUACUCUAGGGGUAGGGGUAAAAUCCUGUCAUCCUUAGAGGACCACCAGUUGCGAGGCGCCACACUGGACGGAUCCGACGGUCAGGGACGAGCCUAGGGGCACGAACCGGAUUAGAUACCCGGGUAGUCCUAGGUGUAAACGCUGGUGAACUUGGUGUCGGGGAUCCGUAUGGGUCCUCGGUGCGGAUGAGAUGUUAAGUUCACUGCUGGGGAGUACGGUCGCAGCUGAAACUCAAAG